CGCUUGCCCCUUCUUCGGGCGUAGGCAUUACUGUAUCAAGGACGUACACGAUUUUCUCCGCUGUGAGAACAAUUCUCAAGUUACGGAGCCAAUCCGUAUAAUUUGGACCAGUGAGGCGGUUGACAUCAAGUAUGCCACGUAAGGGAUUUGAAAGCGACAUUUUCUGAAAAUAAAGAUGUAGCAGAAAUGAAUAACAUGCAGAUUUUGCAAGAAAUAAACUAUCAAGAUAUGGAAUUCUAUCUUAAUAUGCUCUCACUAUUUUACUAAC
This 268-nucleotide long non-coding RNA is filed under the name Musa acuminata (dwarf banana). Its description in RNAcentral is "long non-coding RNA (MACU_LNC011444)". The record is from RNAcentral. Lineage: Eukaryota; Viridiplantae; Streptophyta; Magnoliopsida; Zingiberales; Musaceae.